Molecule: long non-coding RNA, 1755 nt
Organism: Lycium ferocissimum
Lineage: Eukaryota; Viridiplantae; Streptophyta; Magnoliopsida; Solanales; Solanaceae
Exons: 2
Source: RefSeq, a predicted model, not a curated record
CGAACACUGCAUCAAAUGAUGUACCAAAUGCAAAGAAAAUUGUACCAUAAAUGUGCGACAAACAAGGGGUAUUUUGGUACUUUUAACUUCAAUGGCAGGGCUUUCAAAUUUACCAAGCAAUUGACAAACACGUGUUCCCUCAUCUUUCUCUUUCCCUCUUUCCAUCUAUUUUUGUGCGUCUCCUCUGUCUUUUCAUGGAGAAUAACAAAAAUUUGCAGAAAAUCUCAAAUCAAUAAAACCUAAAUUCAAAGGUGACAAAGUUGUGAUGAAAGCAGGCAGCAGCCCUUUUUGACGAAUGAGAGUGCUAUUUAUUUAACCGUUCAAAAUUACAAUUUUUUUACACUUAUGGAGGGUUCAACUUGAAGGAGAAGAAGAAAAUCGGAAGUGAAGGUAGAGCAAAUUGAUGGGAAAUUAGAGAAGAGUGAUUCCAGUUCCGAGCUAGUGGAUCAAUCUAGUGAUGAAAUUUCACAUUUAGCUAUCGAUAUUGGAGCAGCACAAUCAACUCUUUUGUCAAGGAAAAGAAGGUGGUCCAAAUGCCACUGAAUUGAGCAGUAUACGCAAACAUCAACCUAUAAGACAAGGCAACCUAAUAACAAACAGAAUUGAGUAUUAGUAUGUGUAUGUGUGACAUGUACGAGUGACGUAUUCUACUACAAAAAGCAAAGGAAAACAAGAAAGUGCAAGCCAAAGGAAAAGGAAAUGGAGGAGAGAAGAAGAAGUUAUUUUAGAUGGAUAUGUACUGCUUCGUUAGUUCGUUUCGAUUUCUCAUUGUGUCUUACUCUUAGCGCAAUAUAGAUGCUUAUGAGGUCUCAGGUUCAAUUCCCAGUAGAGACAAAAAUACUAGGUGAUUUCUUCCCAUCUGUUCUAGCCUUGGGAAUGCUCUUAUAUGAGAACUAUAGUUUCAUAUGCAUGGCAAAACAAUUCUAACACAAUAGGUCGCCUAAUUAGGCUCUUCAUCACAUCAAAUUCUUAGAAAUUUACAGCAUUUAUAAUUAAGCAUGUAUAUUUUUUUAAUGACCAUGAUGUCCGUGCGCAUACCUUGACUAAUUCCACGGGAUACCUGUCACCUCCUACCACCAUAUAAUGACUGCUCUUCGAAAGGUCAGUCAAAGGUAAGAUCUCAAAGCUCAUUAUUUAAGUAGGAUGUUCACCUUGAAAACCAUGCUCUGCCACACAGUCUAAAGUUUGCUUUUAACUACAACCUGAUGCCUCUAGAGAUAAAUGUCGCCGCCACAGAGGUACUCACUUUACCCAAAAAUAUAAUGCUCUUUACUCACCCAUUUUUUAUGACUGCAUGUCACUAAUCAGGCAGCUGGGUGAUCCACCACUACAUCAUAUCCCUGGGUUGGUCUUUCUAAUCAAUCAGAACAUGAACCGGUGUGAAGAUCUUGAAUGCAAGGGUGAGUUAGCCUUCAUGGAAAAGAGCCUCUUCGUUGCAAGCGGAACCCAUGACCACUUUUUGAGAAUCACCGGAAGACAUUUUGGAUAUUUUAACAAAUAACCAACAAGAGGCAACAACUCUCUCUAUGGUCUCUAGCGCUCCACGGCAGUAACAACAACACGCUUCCCGACAGCAGAUGUUGCCACUUUGUUUAGCCACUUUAGUAAAAGAUAAGCAUCUUUUGUAUGAUCAACAAUUUUGAAAUGACGAUUCUCCAUCGUCAGUAGCUUUAAAUACUUGUACUACUAUGAUGUCUCACUCCCACCGUGCUCCCUAUAGACUUUUUAUUAAGUAAUAAAAUUUCUUCUCAUGAA